This 253-nucleotide ribosomal RNA is filed under the name uncultured bacterium. RNAcentral's name for it is "partial 16S ribosomal RNA". It matches the Rfam family "Bacterial small subunit ribosomal RNA", at positions 524 to 776 of the family's 1533-position model. The record is from RNAcentral.
GACGAACCGAGCGAACGUUAUUCGGAAUCACUGGGCUUAAAGGGCGCGUAGGCGGGCCAUCAAGUCAGGGGUGAAAGCCCCCAGCUCAACUGGGGAAGUGCCUCUGAUACUGGUGGCCUCGAGGGAGGUAGGGGCGUGCGGAACUUCCGGUGGAGCGGUGAGAUGCGUAGAUAUCGGAAGGAACACCGGUGGCGAAAGCGGCGCGCUGGACCUCUUCUGACGCUGAGGCGCGAAAGCCAGGGGAGCGAACGGG